RNAcentral lists this transfer RNA (75 nucleotides) under Triticum aestivum (bread wheat). RNAcentral's name for it is "tRNA-Met (CAT) (tRNA-Met-CAT-15-1, tRNA-Met-CAT-16-1)". It matches the Rfam family "tRNA". From Rfam's summary of the family: Transfer RNA (tRNA) molecules are approximately 80 nucleotides in length. Their secondary structure includes four short double-helical elements and three loops (D, anti-codon, and T loops). The record is from RNAcentral. Lineage: Eukaryota; Viridiplantae; Streptophyta; Magnoliopsida; Poales; Poaceae.
UGGGGUGGUGGCGCAGUUGGCUAGCGCGUAGGUCUCAUAAUCCUGAGGUCGAGAGUUCGAGCCUCUCUCACCCAA